This 374-nucleotide ribosomal RNA is filed under the name uncultured organism. Its description in RNAcentral is "bacterial SSU rRNA". It matches the Rfam family "Bacterial small subunit ribosomal RNA", at positions 526 to 896 of the family's 1533-position model. The record is from RNAcentral.
CGGGGGGAGCAAGCGUUGUUCGGAUUUACUGGGCGUAAAGGGCGCGUAGGCGGCCUCUGCAAGUCGACUGUGAAAUCUCCGGGCUUAACCCGGAAAGGUCAGCCGAUACUGCAGGGCUAGAGUGCAGAAGGGGCAACUGGAAUUCUCGGUGUAGUGGUGAAAUGCGUAGAUAUCGAGAGGAACACCUGCGGCGAAGGCGGGUUGCUGGGCUGACACUGACGCUGAGGCGCGAAAGCUAGGGGAGCGAACGGGAUUAGAUACCCCGGUAGUCCUAGCCUUAAACGAUGAAUGCUUGGUGUCUGGGGUUUUAUAGUCCCCGGGUGCCGUCGCUAACGCUUUAAGCAUUCCGCCUGGGGAGUACGGUCGCAAGACUG